Molecule: long non-coding RNA, 546 nt
Organism: Diceros bicornis minor
Lineage: Eukaryota; Metazoa; Chordata; Mammalia; Perissodactyla; Rhinocerotidae
Exons: 3
Source: RefSeq, a predicted model, not a curated record
AAGCCUCUGUGCUGGGAGCGGAGAGUCUCCACCUGUCUGCUCUUCCUCUCGGUGGCUCCAGGCUCUGCAGCCCAGAGUUUAUCCAUCCAGAGAGAGCACCAGCUACAUUUCCACAUCAUCAGCUGGAACCUCAGCAACCCGGAGCCCACAUCCUCGGAGUACACCGCCCUGCUGAGGGACACCCAGGACCAGAAUAUUCUCCCAACAGAGAUGACACCUUGACUGAGAAGCCUGGUAAACCUGCAGGAAGCCCCAGCCCACAGUAGGGGGCGAGUAUCUUGAUGCUGUGCCUCAUUGAAGAGAACCAUGCGCACAGGGUCUUGGAUGAUGAGGAAAGUUGGCCAACCCUUGUCAAGGACAGUUGAGGCACAGUGGGGUCAGCAGGAGCCCUGGGGCGAUGACAGGAGGUGGCUCACCCCACCAUUUGUCUCCCCAGACCUCCCCUUCUGGGCCCUCAUCCUCAUCUGCUUGGCGGGAAUCCUGGUGCUCAUCACAGGCCUGAUCUGCUGUCUCCUGGUUGCAAUGCAGGCAGGGAUUAACUUGGGG